UUAUUAGUGAUAUAAUAACAUCUUUAUGGAUUUUUAAAUUGGUGUGACUACGAAAAACUCAAACUCAUAUGAAAAUAAGUUUAAUGGCCAUUAGAUUAAAUAUUUGCAUUCAGAUUCAAACAUUCAUUAUAUACACUUUAAUUAAUUUUGCACAAAGCUCAAUACAGAUAUUUGAUCUAAUGAUUAUUAAGCUUGUUCUUAUUUGAGGUUGAGCUUAUAUUAGAUGCACUCUUUUAAAAUAUAAUGAAAAUUGGAAAAAUUAAAAAACAAAGGGAAGGUGUGGGAGGGGGGAUCUCUAUGGAAAUGUAGGGAUUUUUGUCCCAUUGCUGGGUGGGGGCAAGGAAAGGAAUGGGGGGACGACUCCCUGUCCUCGCCUUACCCCAUUGACAUUCCUAAAUAGAUCUAACAACCCUACAAAGUAUGGACCUAAGAAAGCAGGAGUGGCCCAUUUACACUUUUACCCACCUUAGAAUUGAAGUGAGUUCUUAGGCUUCUACCAAUUCCUAUAUUUAUGAAAGAACAAUAGAAGGUAGUUUAAGGCAUAAUUUUUGACGAAGUAAAUUUCGA
Molecule: unclassified non-coding RNA, 567 nt
Filed under: Hevea brasiliensis (rubber tree)
Lineage: Eukaryota; Viridiplantae; Streptophyta; Magnoliopsida; Malpighiales; Euphorbiaceae
Source: RNAcentral